RNAcentral lists this long non-coding RNA (604 nucleotides) under Marmota monax (woodchuck). The record is from RNAcentral. Lineage: Eukaryota; Metazoa; Chordata; Mammalia; Rodentia; Sciuridae.
UAUAAAAGGAUUGUAAUUAUUAUUCCAUAGUACGGAGGAAGGUAGUUGAGACCUGAGAAGUCUUACCAAACCUGUAAAGCUGGUAGACAGUGAAGCCAAGGUAUAACUCAGUCUGUGGGACUCCAGCACCCACAUCAUUUAUAGCCCUGCUGGUCACCUUCCUAAGAGAUCUAGGAAGGUUCUAUGUCAACCCCACCCAAACCACCUAAUUACCUAAUAAUUAAACUAUGCCAACAGAACUUCAUUUCUAAUGUAGGAUUUGUUAUGAAAAAUGCAGAAACAUGAGAAAAGAACCUCAAGAUGUUAUCAGGUAUUUCUACUUUGUUGUGAAUACAUGUGGAAGCAGCUCUGGGUUGAGGCAUUGAGAAUGAGGCACAGGACUCCAGGAACCUUGAGUCAGGCACGGGAAAGAAAAUUAGAUGAGGAUGUAGUAGAGGUGAAGGAGAAGGUGACCUUGACCAUGACAAGAUUGCCACAGGCAAUUCACCAUGUGGUUUUCUAUCUGGUCCUGGUCCAGUAAAAUAUCUUGAACAUAGUGUUUCUGAGGAUGGGAGCCAUGGGCCCUCAUUAUAAUACCUGUAAGCUUGCUUAAAAUGCAGAUUCC